RNAcentral lists this ribosomal RNA (253 nucleotides) under uncultured bacterium. Its description in RNAcentral is "partial 16S ribosomal RNA". It matches the Rfam family "Bacterial small subunit ribosomal RNA", at positions 524 to 776 of the family's 1533-position model. The record is from RNAcentral.
UACGUAGGGGGCAAGCGUUAUCCGGAUUUACUGGGUGUAAAGGGAGCGUAGACGGCAGAGCAAGUCUGAAGUGAAAGCCCGCGGCCCAACUGCGGGACUGCUUUGGGAACUGCCCGGCUAGAGUGCUGGAGAGGUAAGCGGAAUUCCUAGUGUAGCGGUGAAAUGCGUAGAUAUUAGGAGGAACACCAGUGGCGAAGGCGGCUUACUGGACAGUAACUGACGUUGAGGCUCGAAAGCGUGGGGAGCAAACAGG